Molecule: ribosomal RNA, 253 nt
Filed under: uncultured bacterium
Lineage: Bacteria
Description: partial 16S ribosomal RNA
Rfam family: Bacterial small subunit ribosomal RNA
Source: RNAcentral
UACGUAGGGUGCAAGCGUUGUCCGGAAUUAUUGGGCGUAAAGAGCUCGUAGGCGGUCAGUCGCGUCUGCUGUGAAAACUCGGGGCUUAACUCCGGGCCUGCAGUGGGUACGGGCUGACUAGAGUGCGGUAGGGGAGACUGGAAUUCCUGGUGUAGCGGUGAAAUGCGCAGAUAUCAGGAGGAACACCGGUGGCGAAGGCGGGUCUCUGGGCCGUAACUGACGCUGAGGAGCGAAAGCUGGGGGAGCAAACAGG